Molecule: long non-coding RNA, 2989 nt
Organism: Cyprinus carpio carpio
Lineage: Eukaryota; Metazoa; Chordata; Actinopteri; Cypriniformes; Cyprinidae
Source: Ensembl
ACUCUUUCUGUUGUAUCUAGAUCAGUGAUGGAGGAGGAUCUAGGGAACCCUGUGGCUAAGAAGACUGAGGAGGAGUCCAGUAGUGUCCUUCUCACUUACUUCAAAGGAGACAUCAACAGCAUGGUGGAUGAACAUUUCUCCCGUGCUCUGAGUCAAGCAGCAAAACCGAAGGGAGAACGCUCCGAAAUCAAAAGAAACUGUAAAGUUGCUCAGACAAGUAACUGUUCCUCUCAAAUUUGGCUUUUACACAAAAUAUUUGAUUUGUUAAAUGAAUUUUAACAAUUCCUGUGUUUUUUUUUUCUUCCCUAAGAUGGACUUGGAUCAAGUCAAUGGGAAGCACAGUCACAAACCAGGUUUCAGCACUUGUUUCCUCCAGAACAUCUCCGGGAAGGAACAAGCAGAGAGUCUCAAUCAAACCAUCAUAUGCCACCAGAUCACCCUGCAAACAGUGCUGCUCUGUGGUCAGGAGAUUCUAGGCAGGGAUUGAGUCUUGCUCUGCCCCCCAUGAUGCCCUACCCCUCAGCUGUAUCUUCUGAUGGUUUGAUGGUGGCAGAACACCAGUACUCUAAUUCUCUGUUAAACUUGCUUCACAACGAUCACCCUGACACGGGCACAGUGGUGCUACCCUCCUCCAAACAAGACCUCAUGUCUGGAUGGACCAAGUACCCAGGAUUUGGCAAUCAGAUGAAUUGCAAUAUCAAUCUUAACUCUGAUUUAAAAGGAAGAACAAAGAAGUCUUUCAUCAUUUUCUUGUUUAACUGGACCCUGCAAUGCUUCUCCUGGAGGCGUCUGUACAUCCAACCUGUUCAGAAACAAGCUCUUCAUGUACCGAAGCACAGAAGAAGAUUGUACAGGAGAUUGGCCUCAGGCUCUAUAUGGUUAAAGACGUUUUACACGCACACAGAAACACACACUAAAUCUGUUUUUCUUUUUUAUUAUUAUUAUUAUUAUUAUUUGUAGAGUGUCAGGUGGAGUUUGUUAUUGUUGUUGUUUUUUUUAAUAGCAAACACCUGAUAUACUUUUUGUCUGAAAGCUAUUUUUGUUGCAUUUAAUUUGUCUAAUAAGGCUGCUCCAGGUCUAAAUAAAUGUAAAUGAUUUGAAAAAUUAUUAUGAACAUAAUUACAUAAAGAAAUGUAUAAAUGUACAAAACCUAAAAGCAUACAAAGGUUUUAUAUGGGUUUUAUUAUAAUUUAAGAGAACAUUACCAAACUUCUCAAUGCUAUCAUGUCAAAUUCAGCUACUUUAAGUGCCAGACAAUACAGUAUUGGAUGCACAGUCUUUGAUGCCAACAACAAAAGGAAGUUUUUAUUUUGCAAAUGUAUUUUGCUAUCCUAACCAUGCACAAUUAUUAGCAUUGUUUUUCCCUGCUAUUGUUGAUAAUCAGAAUAGAACUGCAAGACAUUUUAGGUCACAAACCACUUGUUGAAAUCACUUUGGUAUUGUAUUAUAUAAAUGCUUUUGUAUUGUAUUGCAUUUCCAUAAAUGGCACAUGACAGCAUUUCUUCAAUGCUACUCAAAUACAUUUCAUUUGUAUAUUACAGUAUUUAAGACCAACUUGGUUUAAUUCUGACUUAAGCGUGGCGUCCUGGCUAAUGAAAACACCAACACUGCACCCUAGUGGGCGAGAACAACAUUGCAUUGCAUCUCACUGUAAAAAUACAUUAAUUACAGCAGCAUGGUGUGAAGUCUGUAUAUCUUGGAGCCAGUCUUAAUCUCACACUAUGAUGUAGGUAGCAAACUCCACUCCCCCACCAUGAAUCCAAUUCAUGGACGCAGAUGGAGGAACAGCCAUCUCCACACCCCUGCUUGAGGAUUAUUGAUGUCCUUGCACUAUAUUUAGCUGUUACCCAUCUGGUGGCACACACACCCUUUUCCAAAUAAAAAUGACCAAAGCCAAGGCUAAACUCUGCACUCAGACUCACCUCUGGCUAGAAACAUUCAGCACAAUGAUCGAUCACUCCACAUUUUAUUGCAAUGGUAGUGGAGGACUAAAUUCGUUUACUAAAUUCUUCUCCCUACUUCCCUACUCCGAAAAGCAGUACAAGAAAUGUCCAAAUUCCCAGCAUUCAGAAAACGGCAAGCAAAAUUAUUUUGCUAUUCUAAGUUCUAACUGUCUAAUGCAGCGCUUCACAGUUUUAACCAGAAAAAGUCUCACUUGUUUAGAUUGGACACUGCAAAAAAAAAACCACUGCUGUUGUGCACAGGGUAGAUUGGAAGUAUUUUACAUCUCCUCUGGCAUUUCGGUUUGACUUUAUUAUCGACACUCUUUCCAUUCAAGCCUCUGCUCUCCUCUUUACUCACACUUCAUCUGUAAUUCUAAUAUAGUCUGCAGUGACACCUCAGAGAAUCCACAGCUCACAACCCAAUUAGUGUUGACCUACAGAGGUGUCACCUUUAAAUAGGACAUAUUUCAUUUUUGGCAUCAUGAAAUAGUAUUAUUAUCUAUGUUGUCUGUGUUGCAGAGCCAAUUUCCAUGAUAAUGUGUCAGUUCUAAAACAAUACGGUCUGACAGCAGAGACUAAAUAGCUUCUGUUAACUAUUGUGAACUAACUGAUAACACUGACCUACGAGUAUUCGUGGAUUCUGGCAGCAGUCCUUGCGUUAAUGCUCACAUUAACCUUAUUAACCUUCUUGUAACUGCAGUUUCCCUCUAACAGAACUUGUAGCCAUUGAGUAUAAUAUGACAAGGUGCUGCUGUUUUACAUAUGUGAUUUUAGUGAUAAUCAUACUAUAUUAUAAAACCAUGUGGGCUUCACAGGGGAAAUCAUCACAAAGGUGGAUGCAACAUGAUUCUGAAUGUCGCUCUUUGAAUGAUGCAUAAUAUUUAAAACAUGCUUCACAUGGUCUGACAUUCUGAACCACUUCAAACAACUAACUUUCUUUUGACAGAGCCUUUAAUGGACAAAAAAGAGUAAAGAACCAUAGUCAUAAUACCAAGAAAAAACAAAUCCUAUUCAGAUAUUACAAAUGGCCAUUUAAAAAGAGAUAU